UGAAAUGGGCUCCCAAAACAUGUUCCCAGUGUGGACUGCUGCAUAAGAAAAACAACUUAGCCAGGCAAUGACUGCCAUCUGGUGGCAUUUUCCUGAUGUCACAGUGGCUCCAUAUUGGAGGGGGUGGCAAAUGGCAACAUAGCGGUCAUAGGACAUGACAGUGAGAAAGGCCAGUUCAGCAGAUGCAAAAGCAGAGAAAAAGUAGACUUGAGCCACACAGCCAAGAUAAGAGAUGGAGCUGCUGUGGGUCAGAGAGCUGUGGACUGAUUUAGGCACGGUGACUGAGAUGUAGCACAAAUCCAACAAGGAGAGGUUCCUUAGGAAGAAGUACAUGGGCGUGUGAAGAUACUGAUCAAGAGUAAUGAGCAUGAUGAUGAGAAGGUUCCCCACCAGAGCUGCCAGAUAAAUCAGCAGAAACAGUCCAGCAAGUAGCAUCUGUUGCUCCCAGACAUCAGAAAACCCCAUGAGGAGGAAUUCUGUCACUUCUGUGAGAUUGUCCAUUGGGCAGAAGGUGAAACUAAGACAAAGCAAGGUCAAGUAGCUUGCCCAAGACCACUCAAAGAGCCAGAUCCUGGGCCAGCACUCAAAUCAAGGUAGUCCAUCUCCAGGAUCAGUGUCACUAACCUCUGCAUUCUACUAAUCUACUUUAAUGGGUAAUAAUUUUGGCCAACAAAACUUCAUGGACUUUUUCUAUAUAUUAAUUGAUGAUCAUCAUAUCUUUGCUUUUUCUCAGUGGUGCUGUCUGCAUGUUUAAAACAUACAUGCUUGUCUGCGUCAAAGUCAUUUGCAUGUUAGAUUCACUCUACAUGACUCUAAAGUAUUGUAACCCACAAUUUAAUAAGUUGUUUCCUAUUAUAGCCAACUUUAAAGUCAAUUUAAAAUAAGCUUAGUGAUUAUCCCUUUUAAUCAGCAUUGUUUCAUUAUCUCAUUCCAUUAGUGAUAAAUAAAGCACAUAAAUGAAUACUAUCCUUUGUGAUUAGACAAACGUGAAUGAAUGUUAUCAUUAUUUACAGGAAAGGUAGAAGCCCUUUUUUAGGAUACAUUUUGAAGAUAAUCUUCUUUCCAUAGGUUAUAAAUAAUACAGUCAGUAUGAAACACUUCAUUG
RNAcentral lists this long non-coding RNA (1105 nucleotides) under Equus caballus (horse). RNAcentral describes it as "lncRNA (ENSECAG00000038838.2)". The record is from RNAcentral. Lineage: Eukaryota; Metazoa; Chordata; Mammalia; Perissodactyla; Equidae.